This 301-nucleotide ribosomal RNA is filed under the name uncultured bacterium. Its description in RNAcentral is "partial 16S ribosomal RNA". It matches the Rfam family "Bacterial small subunit ribosomal RNA", at positions 509 to 807 of the family's 1533-position model. The record is from RNAcentral.
CAGUAGCCACGGUAAAACGAAGGGUGCAAGCGUUAAUCGGAAUUACUGGGCGUAAAGCGUGCGUAGGUGGUGGUUUAAGUCCGUUGUGAAAGCCCUGGGCUCAACCUGGGAAUUGCAGUGGAUACUGGGUCACUAGAGUGUGGUAGAGGAUAGUGGAAUUUCCGGUGUAGCAGUGAAAUGCGUAGAGAUCGGAAGGAACAUCUGUGGCGAAGGCGACUAUCUGGGCCAACACUGACACUGAGGCACGAAAGCGUGGGGAGCAAACAGGAUUAGAUACCCCUGUAGUCCCUGUCUCUUAUAC